Long non-coding RNA from Equus quagga, 649 nucleotides. RefSeq lists it as uncharacterized. The record is from RefSeq and is a predicted model, not a curated record. The transcript is spliced from 3 exons. NCBI's taxonomy places the organism in Eukaryota, Metazoa, Chordata, Mammalia, Perissodactyla, Equidae.
CAGCUCAACUGAAUUCCUUUCCUUCUCCGAUGCAGGUAAAUCAGGCACUGCUUGCUGAAUCUGAGUGCUGCCUUUCCUCUUGGUACCCCGUUGGUUUCUUAGUUCGUGAUUUAGCCUCCAAAAGAAAAACUCGGUGGACGGACCCCUAAGCCUCUGGAAGACUCUCUUCAUCGCUGGAAAAGGAAAUGGUUAACAGCCCCUCAGAUAUUCUACCAAGAAAAAGAGACUAUUAUUCUUCAAAAACAUCAAAGGAACGAUGAGGAGCUAUUCCAGAUUAAAAAUAUGACAACAUGCAACAUGUGGCCUGUAUUGGAUCCUGCGCUGGGAUGGGGGGUGGAGCUAUAAUAGAUAUGAAGAAAAUUGAUGGAACUUUGAGUGUGGGCUAUGAAUUAGAUAAUGUCAGUAUUAAAUUUUCUGAAUUUGAUCACUGUACUGUUAUGUAAGAGAAUGUUCCUGUUCUUAGGAAAUACAUAUGGGCAUGCUUAGGGCUAAAGGACUUUGAUGUCUCCAACUUAUUCUCCAAUAGUUUAGGAAAAAUGUGUAUGUGUGUACCCCCAUGUGUUUAUAUAUGUAUGUGUGUACAUAAAUAUAUAUACUUACAGAGAAAACAGUAAAAAUGUAAACAAUUUGUAAAUCUGGGUAAAAGCUA